This 466-nucleotide ribosomal RNA is filed under the name uncultured bacterium. RNAcentral's name for it is "partial 16S ribosomal RNA". It matches the Rfam family "Bacterial small subunit ribosomal RNA", at positions 28 to 507 of the family's 1533-position model. The record is from RNAcentral.
GAUGAACGCUGGCGGCGUGCUUAACACAUGCAAGUCGAACGAUGAAGCCCAGCUUGCUGGGUGGAUUAGUGGCGAACGGGUGAGUAACACGUGAGUAACCUGCCCUUAACUCUGGGAUAAGCCUGGGAAACUGGGUCUAAUACCGGAUAGGAGCGUCCACCGCAUGGUGGGUGUUGGAAAGAUUUAUCGGUUUUGGAUGGACUCGCGGCCUAUCAGCUUGUUGGUGAGGUAAUGGCUCACCAAGGCGACGACGGGUAGCCGGCCUGAGAGGGUGACCGGCCACACUGGGACUGAGAUACGGCACAGACUCCUACGGGAGGCAGCAGUGGGGAAUAUUGCACAAUGGGCGCAAGCCUGAUGCAGCGACGCCGCGUGAGGGAUGACGGCCUUCGGGUUGUAAACCUCUUUCAGUAGGGAAGAAGCGAAAGUGACGGUACCUGCAGAAGAAGCACCGGCUAACUACGUG